This 360-nucleotide ribosomal RNA is filed under the name uncultured bacterium. Its description in RNAcentral is "bacterial SSU rRNA". It matches the Rfam family "Bacterial small subunit ribosomal RNA", at positions 29 to 367 of the family's 1533-position model. The record is from RNAcentral.
AGCGAACGCUGGCGGCGUGCUUAACACAUGCAAGUCGAGGGAGAACGGUUGGCUUCGGCCUUCCUAGUAAACCGGCGCACGGGUGAGUAACACGUAGGUAACCUACCUUCGAGACUGGGAUAACCCAUCGAAAGAUGAGCUAAUACCAGAUAUGACCACGGGAGUUUCGGCUUCCGCGGUGAAAGAUGGCCUCUGCUUGCAAGCUAUCACUCGAGGAUGGGGCCUGCGCGCCAUUAGCUAGUUGGUGGGGUAACGGCCCACCAAGGCUACGAUGGCUAGUUGGUCUGAGAGGAUGACCAGCCACACUGGGACUGAGACACGGCCCAGACUCCUACGGGAGGCAGCAGUGGGGAAUAUUGC